RNAcentral lists this long non-coding RNA (1458 nucleotides) under Homo sapiens (human). Its description in RNAcentral is "long non-coding RNA NONHSAT168607.1". Lineage: Eukaryota; Metazoa; Chordata; Mammalia; Primates; Hominidae. The record is from RNAcentral.
GCGUAGACGAGUUAAGUCCUGGUCUGCGUGGAGGUCGACGACUCCGUCGCAGACUACGGACCUGUCUGGGUCUCAGCCGCCAAAGACCCCGUCCGUACUAGCCGGACAUCAUGAGUGGCUGUCGGGUAUUCAUCGGGAGACUAAAUCCAGCGGCCAGGGAGAAGGACGUGGAAAGAUUCUUCAAGGGAUAUGGACGGAUAAGAGAUAUUGAUCUGAAAAGAGGCUUUGGUUUUGAAUUUGAGGAUCCAAGGGAUGCAGAUGAUGCUGUGUAUGAGCUUGAUGGAAAAGAACUCUGUAGUGAAAGGGUUACUAUUGAACAUGCUAGGGCUCGGUCACGAGGUGGAAGAGGUAGAGGACGAUACUCUGACCGUUUUAGUAGUCGCAGACCUCGAAAUGAUAGACGAAAUGCUCCACCUGUAAGAACAGAAAAUCGUCUUAUAGUUGAGAAUUUAUCCUCAAGAGUCAGCUGGCAGGAUCUCAAAGAUUUCAUGAGACAAGCUGGGGAAGUAACGUUUGCGGAUGCACACCGACCUAAAUUAAAUGAAGGGGUGGUUGAGUUUGCCUCUUAUGGUGACUUAAAGAAUGCUAUUGAAAAACUUUCUGGAAAGGAAAUAAAUGGGAGAAAAAUAAAAUUAAUUGAAGGCAGCAAAAGGCACAGUAGGUCAAGAAGCAGGUCUCGAUCCCGGACCAGAAGUUCCUCUAGGUCUCGUAGCCGAUCCCGUUCCCGUAGUCGCAAAUCUUACAGCCGGUCAAGAAGCAGGAGCAGGAGCCGGAGCCGGAGCAAGUCCCGUUCUGUUAGUAGGUCUCCCGUGCCUGAGAAGAGCCAGAAACGUGGUUCUUCAAGUAGAUCUAAGUCUCCAGCAUCUGUGGAUCGCCAGAGGUCCCGGUCCCGAUCAAGGUCCAGAUCAGUUGACAGUGGCAAUUAAACUGUAAAUAACUUGCCCUGGGGGCCUUUUUUUAAAAAACAAAAACCACAAAAAUUCCCAAACCAUACUUGCUAAAAAUUCUGGUAAGUAUGUGCUUUUCUGUGGGGGUGGGAUUUGGAAGGGGGGUUGGGUUGGGCUGGAUAUCUUUGUAGAUGUGGACCACCAAGGGGUUGUUGAAAACUAAUUGUAUUAAAUGUCUUUUGAUAAGCCUUCUGCUCACAUUUUUGUGAAUGUCUGAAGUAUAUAGUUUGUGUAUAUUGACAGAGCUCUUUUAUAACUAAAGCAAAUUUAAUUUUUUUGUACUAGAAAAAAAUUUGAACAUUUUAGUUCUUGGUUAUAAAAAUGUUAAUUCAGAAUUAGUUUAAUGCCUUAAUUAAACUAAUUAAUAGCUUUGGACACUUAAAAGAGCUCUAAAUUUGCUUGUACAUAAAGGCUUAAUUUGUUUUCCUUGUUAGGGUCAAGGGUGUCCUCCACUCUUUAACAGCUGCUGGACAGACACAUUAGAGCAGCUGUUUGUUAUUGAUAAUAAAAU